CCUACGGGAGGCAGCAGUGGGGGAUAUUGCACAAUGGGCGGAACCCUGAUGCAGCGACGCCGCGUGGGUGAAGAAGCGCCUCGGCGCGUAAAGCCCUGUCAGCAGGGAAGCAAAUGACGGUACCUGAAGAAGAAGCCCCGUCCAACUACGUGCCAGCUGCCGCGGUCAUACGGCGGGGGCCAGCGUUAUCCGGAUUUACUGGGGGUUAAGGGGGCGGAGGCGGCUAUGCAAGCCAGGAGGGAAAGCCCGGGGCCCAAACCCGGGACUGCCUUUGGAACUGCGUGGCUUGAGUGCAGGAGGGGCAGGCGGAAUGCCUGGUGUAGCGGUGAAAUGCGUAGAUAUCAGGAGGAACACCGGUGGCGAAGGCGGCCUGCUGGACUGCAACUGACGUUGAGGCCCGAAAGCGUGGGGAGCAAACAGGAUUAGAUACCCCAGUAGUC
This 440-nucleotide ribosomal RNA is filed under the name uncultured bacterium. RNAcentral's name for it is "partial 16S ribosomal RNA". It matches the Rfam family "Bacterial small subunit ribosomal RNA", at positions 338 to 795 of the family's 1533-position model. The record is from RNAcentral.